CAGGGUCUAAACCUCUCAAAAAAUUUUAAUGAGCUUGAGGUCGAGCUCCUUCCUUUCAAAUUUUUAAACAAGGCAUGUGUACAAUUUUCUUUCAAAAUUUUAACAAUGUUGGGGUUGAACCCCUUCCCUUCAAAUUUUUAAUAAGGUAGGGGUCGAGCACAUUCAAUUAUUAUUUUUUAAAGAUUGAUAUCGAGCUCAUUCGUUUUCGAUUUUUCAAAGUGGUUGAAACUUAAUAUUCUAAAUCUAUGUGCUCAAAUGUUUAUUAACUCGUCAUGAGUUUGCUAACCUCUAGGCAUGAGCAUGAACACUCCUUUACAUGAGCUCACCAACUCUUAGCAUGAUCCUGCCUAAUCCUUGGCAUCAACAUGCCAACCUUUAGGUAUGAGCAUGACCACAACAUGCCAGCAUGACCACUCCUUGGCAUGAGCUCGCCAACUCUUUAGCAUGACCCUACCUAAUCCUUGGCAUCAACAUGCCAACCUCUAGGCAUGAGCUCGCCAACUCUUUAACAUGAUCAUGCCUAAUCUUUGGCAUCAGUAUGCUAGCAUGAGCAUGACCACUUCUUAGCAUGAGCUCCCCAAACUCUAGGCUUUGGCAUGCCUAUACCUUAGCAUGAGCUCGCCUAUCUCUUGGCAUGAGCAUACCUAUCACCAGAUAUGCUUAUGCAUCUCAUCCUAGAAACUUGUAUAUCACGCAAGCCUUUGACAUAG
Molecule: long non-coding RNA, 710 nt
Filed under: Olea europaea subsp. europaea
Lineage: Eukaryota; Viridiplantae; Streptophyta; Magnoliopsida; Lamiales; Oleaceae
Source: RNAcentral